This 465-nucleotide ribosomal RNA is filed under the name Vreelandella stevensii. RNAcentral's name for it is "partial 16S ribosomal RNA". It matches the Rfam family "Bacterial small subunit ribosomal RNA", at positions 338 to 795 of the family's 1533-position model. The record is from RNAcentral. Lineage: Bacteria; Pseudomonadati; Pseudomonadota; Gammaproteobacteria; Oceanospirillales; Halomonadaceae.
CCUACGGGCGGCAGCAGUGGGGAAUAUUGGACAAUGGGCGAAAGCCUGAUCCAGCCAUGCCGCGUGUGUGAAGAAGGCCUUCGGGUUGUAAAGCACUUUCAGUGGGGAAGAAAGCCUUGGGGCUAAUACCCUCGAGGAAGGACAUCACCCACAGAAGAAGCACCGGCUAACUCCGUGCCAGCAGCCGCGGUAAUACGGAGGGUGCGAGCGUUAAUCGGAAUUACUGGGCGUAAAGCGCGCGUAGGCGGUCUGAUAAGCCGGUUGUGAAAGCCCCGGACUCAACCUGGGAACGGCAUCCGGAACUGUCAGGCUAGAGUGCAGGAGAGGAAGGUAGAAUUCCCGGUGUAGCGGUGAAAUGCGUAGAGAUCGGGAGGAAUACCAGUGGCGAAGGCGGCCUUCUGGACUGACACUGACGCUGAGGUGCGAAAGCGUGGGUAGCAAACAGGAUUAGAUACCCUUGUAGUC